RNAcentral lists this transfer RNA (72 nucleotides) under Bos taurus (domestic cattle). It matches the Rfam family "tRNA". Rfam says of the family: Transfer RNA (tRNA) molecules are approximately 80 nucleotides in length. Their secondary structure includes four short double-helical elements and three loops (D, anti-codon, and T loops). The record is from Rfam by way of RNAcentral. RNAcentral also lists the same sequence under 2 other names. Lineage: Eukaryota; Metazoa; Chordata; Mammalia; Artiodactyla; Bovidae.
UCCCUGUUGGCUCAGUUGGUAAAAAAUCUGCCUGUAUAGCAGAAGACCUGGGUUUGAUUCCUGGAUUGGGAA